Molecule: ribosomal RNA, 397 nt
Filed under: uncultured bacterium
Lineage: Bacteria
Description: partial 16S ribosomal RNA
Rfam family: Bacterial small subunit ribosomal RNA
Source: RNAcentral
AUACGUAGGUGGCAAGCGUUGUCCGGAAUUAUUGGGCGUAAAGCGCGCGCAGGCGGUCCUUUAAGUCUGAUGUGAAAGCCCACGGCUCAACCGUGGAGGGUCAUUGGAAACUGGGUAACUUGAGUGCAGAAGAGGAAAGUGGAAUUCCAAGUGUAGCGGUGAAAUGCGUAGAGAUUUGGAGGAACACCAGUGGCGAAGGCGGCUUUCUGGUCUGUAACUGACGCUGAGGCGCGAAAGCGUGGGGAGCAAACAGGAUUAGAUACCCUGGUAGUCCACGCCGUAAACGAUGAGUGCUAAGUGUUAGGGGGUUUCCGCCCCUUAGUGCUGCAGCUAACGCAUUAAGCACUCCGCCUGGGGAGUACGGUCGCAAGACUGAAACUCAAAUGAAUUGACGGGG